RNAcentral lists this ribosomal RNA (768 nucleotides) under Leuconostoc mesenteroides. RNAcentral describes it as "bacterial SSU rRNA". It matches the Rfam family "Bacterial small subunit ribosomal RNA", at positions 28 to 778 of the family's 1533-position model. Lineage: Bacteria; Bacillati; Bacillota; Bacilli; Lactobacillales; Lactobacillaceae. The record is from RNAcentral.
GAUGAACGCUGGCGGCGUGUCUAAUACAUGCAAGUCGAACGCACAGCGAAAGGUGCUUGCACCUUUCAAGUGAGUGGCGAACGGGUGAGUAACACGUGGACAACCUGCCUCAAGGCUGGGGAUAACAUUUGGAAACAGAUGCUAAUACCGAAUAAAACUUAGUGUCGCAUGACACAAAGUUAAAAGGCGCUUCGGCGUCACCUAGAGAUGGAUCCGCGGUGCAUUAGUUAGUUGGUGGGGUAAAGGCCUACCAAGACAAUGAUGCAUAGCCGAGUUGAGAGACUGAUCGGCCACAUUGGGACUGAGACACGGCCCAAACUCCUACGGGAGGCUGCAGUAGGGAAUCUUCCACAAUGGGCGAAAGCCUGAUGGAGCAACGCCGCGUGUGUGAUGAAGGCUUUCGGGUCGUAAAGCACUGUUGUAUGGGAAGAACAGCUAGAAUAGGAAAUGAUUUUAGUUUGACGGUACCAUACCAGAAAGGGACGGCUAAAUACGUGCCAGCAGCCGCGGUAAUACGUAUGUCCCGAGCGUUAUCCGGAUUUAUUGGGCGUAAAGCGAGCGCAGACGGUUUAUUAAGUCUGAUGUGAAAGCCCGGAGCUCAACUCCGGAAUGGCAUUGGAAACUGGUUAACUUGAGUGCAGUAGAGGUAAGUGGAACUCCAUGUGUAGCGGUGGAAUGCGUAGAUAUAUGGAAGAACACCAGUGGCGAAGGCGGCUUACUGGACUGCAACUGACGUUGAGGCUCGAAAGUGUGGGUAGCAAACAGGAU